GCUCAGUUGGUAGAGUACAAGGCUCUUAACCUUGUGGUCAUGGGUUCGGGCCCCAU
This 56-nucleotide transfer RNA is filed under the name Triticum aestivum (bread wheat). It matches the Rfam family "tRNA", at positions 10 to 63 of the family's 71-position model. Rfam says of the family: Transfer RNA (tRNA) molecules are approximately 80 nucleotides in length. RNAcentral also lists the same sequence under 1 other name. The record is from Rfam by way of RNAcentral. Lineage: Eukaryota; Viridiplantae; Streptophyta; Magnoliopsida; Poales; Poaceae.